Molecule: long non-coding RNA, 269 nt
Filed under: Physcomitrium patens
Lineage: Eukaryota; Viridiplantae; Streptophyta; Bryopsida; Funariales; Funariaceae
Description: long non-coding RNA (PPAT_LNC005597)
Source: RNAcentral
CAUUCAAAAUAGAGAAGCACAUUUACGUUGUCGUAUGGCGAGAUUUGCUAUCUAGGAAUACACUGGGUAUCUAACUGUAGAGAGUGUAGCCUAAACCUUUAUAUGAAGCUUGUGUUAGCCUCCCAAAACUCCUUUAUUUUAUAUAAAACUCAAAAUAUAAUAAAACCCCUUCAAAACAUAUUUUUUCCGCAAAGGGUUUUCUUGUCUUGAACUUUAGAAAAUCAUAACUCUUGAUUUAACCAUUCAAUUUGUUUCAAAUUUAUAAAAUA